GUGGGAUGUGGGUGGAGGAACCCACUAUGGGAGCUGCUCCUGCAGCUCUUGUCCCAGAGAGGAAAACACAAAAGCAGCCUAAUGCCACCUGUAGCCAUGAAACGAUGGGAAAGAAGAGAACCACAGUCAGCUUCUGCAGCUGUGACCAGGAGUAGUUCUGGAGGAAAUGAAAAGCUGGUACCUGUUGGGCGAGCUGUUGGGGUGAGAAACUGCGUCCGAAGAGUCCUGGGUGGAACAAACUGCGUCAUGAGCAGGGGGACAGUGUCUGCAUCCCCCUUCUGCAGCCUGGAGGAGUCAGGGAUUGCCUCAGCAAUGAUUUAUCACUUGGGGACACGGCACAGACCAGGCACGGUCAGACUGUGCUGGGCCCACCUCCUCCUGCUGCUGAAUGCAGGAUGAGAGGCAGGGGCGCUCAGGAACAGCAGCCCAGGAGUCAGCUAACAGGAACUGAUGGAAUAACUUGUCAGAGCUAAGACGACCAGCAUCCUUGACUAAAAAAAACCCCUUUGUCAGUAGAUAAAGAAAAUACACAACAUUGGAUGGAUCUUCUUACUGUUUGGCUCAAGAGUCCACUGUCACACUUGAGAGGAAGCCAGCACAACAAACAUCUGCCAUUUCUGUGCUGCUGCUCUUGUAGGGUCUCACACAACGUCCUGUUAUCCCUUUCAGCAGACUUGGCUGAGCAUUUCAGACCAUCUUAAAUUCCGUUUUAUUUUGAAGGAUUAAAGCAAGUCAGAACUUCAGUUCACGAUGCGCAGGAAUUUUAGGGGACUGUGAAAUAAGAUAUGUGUAAGGAGGCUUUUUGUAAUACACCAGAGAAAAA
RNAcentral lists this long non-coding RNA (823 nucleotides) under Junco hyemalis (dark-eyed junco). Its description in RNAcentral is "lncRNA (ENSJHYG00000010252.1)". The record is from RNAcentral. Lineage: Eukaryota; Metazoa; Chordata; Aves; Passeriformes; Passerellidae.